AGGAACCGUAUGCGGGAAAGCCGCACGUACGGAUUCUGUGAGGGGCUUAUAUUGUGAGGUGUAAGUCUACUCGAU
Non-coding RNA from Clostridium acidisoli DSM 12555, 75 nucleotides. NCBI's taxonomy places the organism in Bacteria, Bacillati, Bacillota, Clostridia, Eubacteriales, Clostridiaceae. The record is from Rfam.